CUAGGUACUUGGCUAUUAUAUCUUCUUUUUUAAUCUAAUCUUCUGAGUGAGCUGUAAAAACACUAUUAGCUUUAGUAUACUGACCUGGUAUUCAGCCAUAUUGCUAAAUUCUCUUAAUAUUUCUAGUCAUUUAUCUGUAGACUUUUUUUUUUUUUGGUUAGUCUACACUUCUCUCUUUGUUUAAGGAAAACGAAACACUCUUUGUUUAAACUACUGUUGGUCAGCUUCUCUCUGGGAGAACACAAUGCUAACAGAGACAACAGUGCACAUCUAGUUUCCAUUACCACUGAAAGCAGACCCAGAGUAAACACGGUUAUUCUUCAGCAGGGAAACGUUAGCUUGUAUGUAAUUUGUGGGGAAAAUGGAAGGACAAAAGGAGAGAUGAGAUGGUGAGUAGGAGGAGUCUUCAGAAGGGUUUGCUGCUGCUGAAAAAGUGGGGCAGGCCAACAAAACUUCUUCUUCAUCCAAAGCACUAAAUAAAGUAUCAUUGUGUUCUGAAACGAUUCUUGUGGACGAGGGGUGAAGACAUCUGGAUGUGAGUCCUCUUUGGAGCUUGAAGUUACUUCUACCAGAGCUUUUUCAGCAUGUGUGACAGACGCAGGCCUGGUGAG
Non-coding RNA from Vicugna pacos (alpaca), 611 nucleotides. The record is from RefSeq and is a predicted model, not a curated record. Lineage: Eukaryota; Metazoa; Chordata; Mammalia; Artiodactyla; Camelidae.